RNAcentral lists this ribosomal RNA (1343 nucleotides) under uncultured bacterium. Its description in RNAcentral is "16S ribosomal RNA". It matches the Rfam family "Bacterial small subunit ribosomal RNA", at positions 28 to 1378 of the family's 1533-position model. The record is from RNAcentral.
GACGAACGUUGGCGGCGUGCUUAACACAUGCAAGUCGAACGGAAAGGCCCUGCUUUUGUGGGGUGCUCGAGUGGCGAACGGGUGAGUAACACGUGAGUAACCUGCCCUUGACUUUGGGAUAACUUCAGGAAACUGGGGCUAAUACCGGAUAGGAGCUCCUGCUGCAUGGUGGGGGUUGGAAAGUUUCGGCGGUUGGGGAUGGACUCGCGGCUUAUCAGCUUGUUGGUGGGGUAGUGGCUUACCAAGGCUUUGACGGGUAGCCGGCCUGAGAGGGUGACCGGCCACAUUGGGACUGAGAUACGGCCCAGACUCCUACGGGAGGCAGCAGUGGGGAAUAUUGCACAAUGGGCGGAAGCCUGAUGCAGCAACGCCGCGUGCGGGAUGACGGCCUUCGGGUUGUAAACCGCUUUCGCCUGUGACGAAGCGUGAGUGACGGUAAUGGGUAAAGAAGCACCGGCUAACUACGUGCCAGCAGCCGCGGUGAUACGUAGGGUGCGAGCGUUGUCCGGAUUUAUUGGGCGUAAAGGGCUCGUAGGUGGUUGAUCGCGUCGGAAGUGUAAUCUUGGGGCUUAACCCUGAGUGUGCUUUCGAUACGGGUUGACUUGAGGAAGGUAGGGGAGAAUGGAAUUCCUGGUGGAGCGGUGGAAUGCGCGGAUAUCAGGAGGAACACCAGUGGCGAAGGCGGUUCUCUGGGCCUUUCCUGACGCUGAGGAGCGAAAGCGUGGGGAGCGAACAGGCUUAGAUACCCUGGUAGUCCACGCUGUAAACGGUGGGUACUAGGUGUGGGGUCCAUUCCACGGGUUCCGUGCCGUAGCUAACGCUUUAAGUACCCCGCCUGGGGAGUACGGCCGCAAGGCUAAAACUCAAAGGAAUUGACGGGGCCCCGCACAAGCGGCGGAGCAUGCGGAUUAAUUCGAUGCAACGCGUAGAACCUUACCUGGGUUUGACAUGGAUCGGGAGUGCUCAGAGAUGGGUGUGCCUCUUUUGGGGUCGGUUCACAGGUGGUGCAUGGCUGUCGUCAGCUCGUGUCGUGAGAUGUUGGGUUAAGUCCCGCAACGAGCGCAACCCUUGUUCACUGUUGCCAGCACGUUAUGGUGGGGACUCAGUGGAGACCGCCGGGGUCAACUCGGAGGAAGGUGGGGAUGACGUCAAGUCAUCAUGCCCCUUAUGUCCAGGGCUUCACGCAUGCUACAAUGGCUGGUACAGAGAGUGGCGAGCCUGUGAGGGUGAGCGAAUCUCGGAAAGCCGGUCUCAGUUCGGAUUGGGGUCUGCAACUCGACCUCAUGAAGUCGGAGUCGCUAGUAAUCGCAGAUCGGCAACGCUGCGGUGAAUACGUUCCCGGG